GACGAAUGCUGGCGGCGUGCUUAACACAUGCAAGUCGAACGGACAGGCCCUGCUUGCAGGGUACUCGAGUGGCGAACGGGUGAGUAACACGUGGGUGAUCUGCCCUGCACUUCGGGAUAAGCCUGGGAAACUGAGUCUAAUACCGGAUAGGAGCCAUUUUUAGUGCGAUGGUUGGAAAGUUUUUUCGGUGUAGGAUGAGCUCGCGGCCUAUCAGCUUGUUGGUGGGGUAAUGGCCUACCAAGGCGGCGACGGGUAGCCGGCCUGAGAGGGUGGACGGCCACAUUGGGACUGAGAUACGGCCCAGACUCCUACGGGAGGCAGCAGUGGGGAAUAUUGCACAAUGGGCGCAAGCCUGAUGCAGCGACGCCGCGUGGGGGAUGACGGCCUUCGGGUUGUAAACUCCUUUCGCUAGGGACGAAGCUUUUGUGACGGUACCUAGAUAAGAAGCACCGGCUAACUACGUG
RNAcentral lists this ribosomal RNA (464 nucleotides) under uncultured bacterium. Its description in RNAcentral is "partial 16S ribosomal RNA". It matches the Rfam family "Bacterial small subunit ribosomal RNA", at positions 28 to 507 of the family's 1533-position model. The record is from RNAcentral.